GACGAACGCUGGCGGCGUGCUUAACACAUGCAAGUCGAGCGAUGAAGCACCUUCGGGUGUGAAUUAGCGGCGAACGGGUGAGGAACACGUGAGAAAUCUGCCUUCAACACUGGGAUAACUCCGGGAAACCGGGGCUAAUACCGGAUAUGAAACCUGCGGGCAUCCGCGGGUUUGGAAAGUUUUUCGGUUGAAGAUGAUCUCGCGGCCUAUCAGCUUGUUGGUGAGGUAAUGGCUCACCAAGGCGACGACGGGUAGCCGGCCUGAGAGGGCGACCGGCCACACUGGGACUGAGACACGGCCCAGACUCCUACGGGAGGCAGCAGUGGGGAAUAUUGGGCAAUGGAGGAAACUCUGACCCAGCGACGCCGCGUGCGGGAUGAAGGCCUUCGGGUUGUAAACCGCUUUCAGCAGGGAAGAAGCGAAAGUGACGGUACCUGCAGAAGAAGCACCGGCUAACUAUGUGCCAGCAGCCGCGGUAAUACAUAGGGUGCAAGCGUUGUCCGGAAUUAUUGGGCGUAAAGAGCUCGUAGGUGGUUCGUCACGUCGGAUGUGAAACUCUGGGGCUUAACCCCAGACCUGCAUUCGAUACGGGCGAGCUUGAGUAUGGUAGGGGAGUCUGGAAUUCCUGGUGUAGCGGUGGAAUGCGCAGAUAUCAGGAGGAACACCAAUGGCGAAGGCAGGACUCUGGGCC
RNAcentral lists this ribosomal RNA (691 nucleotides) under Candidatus Planktophila sp. RNAcentral describes it as "bacterial SSU rRNA". It matches the Rfam family "Bacterial small subunit ribosomal RNA", at positions 28 to 735 of the family's 1533-position model. Lineage: Bacteria; Bacillati; Actinomycetota; Actinomycetes; Candidatus Nanopelagicales; Candidatus Nanopelagicaceae. The record is from RNAcentral.